UUCUGGCCAGCGCCCUGGGAGAGAUUCCAAAAGAAGAAAUGAUAAGAUCAAUCGAGAGAACUGUAGAAUUUUUCAAAGCACACACAAGACCAAGGUGGCAAAGUGCUGGAGAUGGAAAACAUGGAUCAAACAGGAGUAGAGUAGAACCGAAAGAAAGAAGUAAAAACGAAAUCCCAAGAAAGAUCAGGGACGGACAAGAAACAUCGCGAAGAACAUGAUCUACAAGCUAGAGAUCUUGCAAAGAUGGCAGAUUUCUGGGAUCCAGGAAAGAAAUCCACACAAACCUUGGUGUGCUGAGCGGCCUUAUCGGCGCUCUCGUGGCCGGCCUCCUUCACCUUGUUUGCCUGAUCCGCCAUAGCUAUAGCUUUGCUUGCGUGAGCGAGGGCGAAGAUUAAACUCCUUUUUCCUUUCCUAGAGAGAGAACGAUAGAACUUUUGGGCAAACGAUGUGCUUGCGAAACGUUCGUCGGCCUCUUUUCAAGAACUGCCGCGAGGUGUCACGUGUUGGCAAGGCAGCGACUAGCGCCAUGCACGGCUACACGUGUCCACGUAGCCGGACGCGUGGAGGCUUGUGGCAGCUGCUACGUGUCGGGAUUGCGAGGUUGACACGUGGAUUGAACUGUUGGCGCUUUGAUUGAAAUUGACUUUUGCUGACCAAUGGAAAGCAAGAGGAAAUUUCUUUUUAUAUUAUUGCUCUUGUUUUAUACAGUGGAAAUGUUUUCAUCAUCGAAAGGAAGCUUACAAAGAAAUUUUUCUAGCGAAAGAAGUUCGAUAGAAGGAAAGAAUUUAGAAUGCGAUGAUGAGAAGAAACGACCAAGUAAAAGAAGUACUGUAGAUCGAUCCAGGCUUGACAAAGAAAGAACGAAGAAGAUCAUCUCGAACUUUGUAUAGCGAUCGAUCAGCGAUAAGGAAAUUCGCGGAGCAAAAGGAUUGCUAGCAAAAACCAAAGAAACGAAGAACAGGGAAGAGAAGCAAAAGAAUGCGAUGAUCGAUAAACAACGAAGAACAGUAGGACAAAGAGAAGAAUGCGAUGAUCGAUAGGCAACGAAGAACAGUAGGACAAAGAAAAGAAUACAAUGAUCGAUAGGAAGGAAGAAGAAUGAAGAGAUUUUAGUGAGUGGAGCGAUCUAGAGUCGUGGAGGAGGAGGAUGCUUUACUGCCACAGUCGGGGCUCUCAUCAAAAUUGGAAGCCGGGUAAGAGGCCGAGAGAAUUCCCACCUGGAACACAACCUUCUCGUUCUCCAUGUAGAUCCCAGUCAGCUCCCACCACACCAAUAACACCUUGACAUAAACUCCCGAGAGAUCUUUAAUCGAUCCAUAGGACAGCAAUCCCUCGAUCUUGGCCCUGUACUCCACCGGAUACGCGCCCGGGAUGGUCACGUCGCAUUUGGCGUCGAGCUUGAGCACGAAUCGGCCGCUGUUGUCGAGCGUGUAGCCCUCGACGUUGCUGGGCAGCAAGCCCCCUGGAAAUCCAUUGCGCUCCAGCAGAUCCUGCGCAGUCAUCGUGUCAUUGCCGCCAGUGCCGAUCGAGAGAUCCAUGGCUUGGCCGUGGAUUAGGGCGAGCAGCACCAGCGCCAGCGAGAAGAAAUCGAUCGCCAUCGUCGUCUUCUUCCUCUUUAACGAAGAACCCUAAAAUUACUUUUACCCCUAAGCUGGAAUUCGAACCUGUGACCUGUCCUCGUUGGGAUGAAUGGAUAAAUGGCGGGCAUUCUCUUGCCUCACUGUGGAGCGCUUCUAGGGCGAAAUAUUUCGUGGCGAUUGGAGGAAGCGCGACGGCGCCAGAGAGGAGAUGGAAGCCGCUGUUGGCGCCGUCGGCGAUUUGGAUGCUGUUGCGUGUUCCAUGUGAGUUUGCUUUGAUGGAUUGCUGGAUCCAAUGCGCUCUCCUUUCGUGUCUGAUUCCUCUUUCGUUGCUACCGUGUGUCGAUUCCUGUCUUGAAUGCCAGAUCNNNNNNNNNNNNNNNNNNNNNNNNNNNNNNNNNNNNNNNNNNNNNNNNNNNNNNNNNNNNNNNNNNNNNNNNNNNNNNNNNNNNNNNNNNNNNNNNNNNNUGGCUGUUGAGCACAGCCAAAACAAUUGCCUGCUCUCGUCCAACAUUCACCACGUAGUGAAGCACGCCUCGCGGGAUCACGAACAGAUCACUGGCACGCAUCUUGUGGGCAAAAAGCUUGUUGUUCGUGUCCACGAAGCCAGCCUCCACAACACCCUUCUCGACGUAAACAAGCUCGCUCGCCCGGGGAUGAGUAUGAGUCCUGGCAACACCCUUGGGCCCGAGAUAGAUCCGCGCCAUGGACAGUCCCAUGGUGUUGAGAGCCGGGAAAGUGGUGACGAUGGCUUGCGAGAAGUUGAAGAGAGGGUUGAGGGUGUUUGUAGUAUCGGUGUUGGUGCGGAGGAGGCUCGAGUAGAAGUCUUUGGAGGUGACUUGGGAGUAUGGCUUGCAGGGAGAGCCUUCGAUCAAGGUGUUGCUGGGGAUGCAAAAGUCCUGGAGUGGAUCGGGGUCGGCAGCUUCCACAAGAGAGAAGAUGCGAGCUGAGGAGAGAAAUGUGAGAGCUACAAGGAAUGUAUUCAAAGCCAUUGGAGAUCUGAAACUCUCGAUCACUCUCUUGUGUUAUAAGUUAUCUGAAAGGUUUGGGUUUUUAUGCUUUGCCGUGAGGAGAAAUUUCUUCAGUCUCCUGGUUUCUGAAAAAGCGGGACACGUUCUCAGGUGCACAUGGAUGACUUUGAAUGUUUGCUCUAGGGAAUUAAAAUUAUUUAUAUCACGAUGAAUGCGUAUAAUGCAUAGAUAACCAUUGGAAAUAACCGCAAGGCGAGCAUCCGGCAAUCUUUCCAAACCUAAAAACUGGAAGAUUCAUGGCACGUUCGAUAAUGGUUAAACAACCCUAAACGCAGCUGGAAUAAACCUCAUGCCGGAAUCUUUUCGAAUCUGUUGAUUCCAGAGAGGCGAUCUUUUUUUUCGCCAAGAAUCUCUUCAAUCGCGGACUUACUGUGAGGUCUUCGAUCGAAUGCCGCAGCGCGACGCCUCUCUUCUCUAACUGAGAAUCUAAGAACUUCUGUAGCAGUAUUUUUCGAAAAUCGAAAAUUCGACCUGUUUGGACUGUAGAUCAUUCUAUCGCGUCAAUGGCGAAGACCGAUGUGGCAAUCUCGUUCCAAAGAAACUCGCCACGAACAAUGAAUGAAACGACAAGAUUCCUUGGAUUCCAAUUUUUUCAAAACAGUGACUGGAAGAUCCCCAGCUCACUGGCACUAAAAAGGGAACAAAAAAAUAAAAAUAAAAAAACGCGACGACGACGAUUGUCCAAAUAUCCCGUUUUUCCUUCUCUUUUUUCUUUUUUUCCCGUGUGCUGCUGCUGAAUGAGAGACUACUGAGUGGUGUUGUUACCGCUACCGCUCAGAGGAGCGUUGGUGUUGUUCCCGGGACCGCCCAGACCGAUAGUCUCCUUGGUCUUCUCGUAAGCUUGCUUCGCAGUAUCGGUAGCCUGCCAAACAAUCCACCAACUUUAGAGAUCGAAAAUGAAAGACUAGAGCGAGAAUUGAGAAACCAAACGAGCGAACCUAACAACUCUAGCAAAUAUCUAUUCAAACCAAGCGAACACGACCAAAGAAACGCAACAUCUUGGAAGAGAAUCUUUUUGCUUACCUUCUGGACGAGUCCGGCAGCUUGAUCCUUGGCAGCGUAUGCCGCAUCCGUAGCCGACUGCAUGUAUCCCGACGCCGUAUCCUGCGUCGUAUCCUUGGCCGCGUACGCCUUCUCCGUCACCACGUCCGCGGCCGACUUGGUCUUGUCACCCGCCUGGUUCGCGGUGGCCGCGGUCUGGUCCUUGGCGGCAUAGGCCUUGUCCGCCACCGUGUCCUUGGCGGCAUAUGCCUUGUCCGCCACCGUGUCCUUGGUGGCAUAUGCCUUGUCCGCGGCGGUAUCCUUGGUGGCACGAGCCUUGUCCGCUGCCGUCUGGCCGGUUCCCUUGGAUUGAUCCAUGGCGGCGUGAGUUUUCUCGCUGGCGGCCUGCCCCAAGCCGUGAGUGGUAUCGCUUGCCUUCUGGCCAGCGCCCUGGGAGAGAUUCCAAAAGAAGAAAUGAUAAGAUCAAUCGAGAGAACUGUAGAAUUUUUCAAAGCACACACAAGACCAAGGUGGCAAAGUGCUGGAGAUGGAAAACAUGGAUCAAACAGGAGUAGAGUAGAACCGAAAGAAAGAAGUAAAAACGAAAUCCCAAGAAAGAUCAGGGACGGACAAGAAACAUCGCGAAGAACAUGAUCUACAAGCUAGAGAUCUUGCAAAGAUGGCAGAUUUCUGGGAUCCAGGAAAGAAAUCCACACAAACCUUG
RNAcentral lists this long non-coding RNA (4313 nucleotides) under Selaginella moellendorffii. RNAcentral describes it as "long non-coding RNA (SMOE_LNC000735)". The record is from RNAcentral. Lineage: Eukaryota; Viridiplantae; Streptophyta; Lycopodiopsida; Selaginellales; Selaginellaceae.